This 390-nucleotide ribosomal RNA is filed under the name uncultured marine stramenopile. Its description in RNAcentral is "partial small subunit ribosomal RNA". It matches the Rfam family "Eukaryotic small subunit ribosomal RNA", at positions 30 to 432 of the family's 1831-position model. The record is from RNAcentral.
GCUUGUCUCAAAGAUUAAGCCAUGCAUGUCUAAGUGUAAAUACGUCUACACUGUGAAACUGCGAAUGGCUCAUUAAAUCAGUUAUCGUUUAUUUGAUGAUCUCUUGUUACAUGGAUAACCGUAGUAAUUCUAGAGCUAAUACAUGCGUCAAGCCCCGACUCACGAAGGGGUGUAUUUAUUAGAUUUCAAUCAACACUUUUUGCUGACUCAUGAUAACUUAGCGGAUCGCAGAGGCCUCGCGCCGGCGACAAAUCAUUCAAGUUUCUGCCCUAUCAGCUUUCGAUGGUAGUGUAUUGGACUACCAUGGCAUUCACGGGUAACGGAGGAUUAGGGUUCGAUUCCGGAGAGGGAGCCUGAGAAAUGGCUACCACAUCCAAGGAAGGCAGCAGG